This is a long non-coding RNA of Oreochromis niloticus (Nile tilapia), 569 nucleotides long. RefSeq lists it as uncharacterized. Lineage: Eukaryota; Metazoa; Chordata; Actinopteri; Cichliformes; Cichlidae. The record is from RefSeq and is a predicted model, not a curated record. The transcript is spliced from 2 exons.
UCAUAGUAAGCCUGUCCCGGCUUCCUCCCGUCAGAUGCGUGGAGGCAAGCCAGGUGACAGAGCUGUUGCAGGUUUGUAUUGGCAAACAUUUGCUUUUCCCGUUUUAAUGCAUUUUUUUAACACCAACUAACUUAUGCAACUUAGAUGCUGAUUACUGUGAGCCAGAGCCAUAGUGUUGUUUUGCACUGAACAGAACGGAAUUGGCCAGGUGAACCUUUUUGGGUAUGAAAAAGGAUGGUGAGCCAAUGAACGGCUAGGAGCAGGACUCAUUCUGCAUUGAAGCUUCCACUGGUUGGGUAGGAAGCUAUCAAAGACGACGCUCUGUCCCCAUUUUCCAAAUACACUGAUUUCCACAAUCAUACACACCAUUCCCCCCGUUUAUGGACAAUAGCGCUUGGACAUCUCUCAUGGACAUUCAGAUAAAACUCAUGGACUUCAGUGUGGAUCAGUGGUUUUGAUGUUAACAUGUGUUAUUUAUGGGGAACUGUUUUUUGAGAAUCUAUAUUGCUUGGUAUAAGCCAUAAGCCAGAAGAAUUUGCUUAGUUGUCUUUGUGCACCCCCAUUGGGUU